GUCACAAAUGAGGGAGGGGGAUGAAGUGGAGGGCCAGGGAUGAUGUGCCCUGGUCACUAGGCUCUGGUGACCUGAGCCCGGACAGCCAGAAGGGCCCAGAAGCCAGCGCGCCUGCCCUGGGGCCCUGGCUGGGUCCCCGCACUGCCUGCUGCCUCCCUCCAUCACGCACCCACAUUCCAUCUCCUUGGCCGCUCCUUGGCCUCAGAGCCCUGAGGCAGGCCUGGCUGGACCCCAGAGCCCUGGUGUCCUUCCUGCCCUUUGCCGGGCCAUGGUCCUGGAGCUGCCCACACGUGGAGCCCACCGGUCUGGAAUCUGACCUCCUGGUCUUCUGUGGGGCCGUGCCUCUGAGCCCACUUUGGGAUCGGGGCGACAGAGACCCGGCGUGGGUGCUCACACACCAGUGGUCUGGAAUCUGCAAGGUGUCCUCAGUGCAUGGGCUUUGCUGAAGUCAACACCUGAUUCUGGAUUUGCAACUAUGGUAGUAAGAAGGCCUUCAAGGGGGACAGCACCGCCCAGGAGGAGUCCCCUCCAGGGCUGCCGUUUAGGCGUUGUGGUCACCGGCCCUUUGACCCCUUCGCUUCAGAGCAAGACCGACUUCCUUCCACCUCGCUGGGGUCACUCCGCCAGGGACCGCCCCCAACCGCGGCCCUCCCCUUCCUAACCAAGUGCCCUCCCUCGGGCCCAUCCCUCCGAGCUGAAACACCUUUGGCUGCCACCUGAAGGAAAGCCUCACAAAAGGCACAAGGCACAAUAUAGAUGUGAUUGUGGAUGUGA
This is a long non-coding RNA of Suricata suricatta (meerkat), 774 nucleotides long. RefSeq lists it as uncharacterized. The transcript is spliced from 2 exons. Lineage: Eukaryota; Metazoa; Chordata; Mammalia; Carnivora; Herpestidae. The record is from RefSeq and is a predicted model, not a curated record.